ACGAAGAGUUUGAUCCUGGCUCAGGAUGAACGCUAGCGACAGGCUUAACACAUGCAAGUCGAGGGGCAGCGGGGGUAGCGAUACCCGCCGGCGACCGGCGCACGGGUGAGUAACGCGUAUGCAACUUGCCUAUCAGAGGGGGAUAACCCGGCGAAAGUCGGACUAAUACCGCAUGAAGCAGGGGCCCCGCAUGGGGAUAUUUGCUAAAGAUUCAUCGCUGAUAGAUAGGCAUGCGUUCCAUUAGGCAGUUGGCGGGGUAACGGCCCACCAAACCGACGAUGGAUAGGGGUUCUGAGAGGAAGGUCCCCCACAUUGGUACUGAGACACGGACCAAACUCCUACGGGAGGCAGCAGUGAGGAAUAUUGGUCAAUGGGCGUAAGCCUGAACCAGCCAAGUCGCGUGAGGGAUGAAGGUUCUAUGGAUCGUAAACCUCUUUUAUAAGGGAAUAAAGUGCGGGACGUGUCCCGUUUUGUAUGUACCUUAUGAAUAAGGAUCGGCUAACUCCGUGCCAGCAGCCGCGGUAAUACGGAGGAUCCGAGCGUUAUCCGGAUUUAUUGGGUUUAAAGGGUGCGUAGGCGGCCUUUUAAGUCAGCGGUGAAAGUCUGUGGCUCAACCAUAGAAUUGCCGUUGAAACUGGGGGGCUUGAGUAUGUUUGAGGCAGGCGGAAUGCGUGGUGUAGCGGUGAAAUGCAUAGAUAUCACGCAGAACCCCGAUUGCGAAGGCAGCCUGCCAAGCCAUUACUGACGCUGAUGCACGAAAGCGUGGGGAUCAAACAGGAUUAGAUACCCUGGUAGUCCACGCAGUAAACGAUGAUCACUAGCUGUUUGCGAUACACUGUAAGCGGCACAGCGAAAGCGUUAAGUGAUCCACCUGGGGAGUACGCCGGCAACGGUGAAACUCAAAGGAAUUGACGGGGGCCCGCACAAGCGGAGGAACAUGUGGUUUAAUUCGAUGAUACGCGAGGAACCUUACCCGGGUUUGAACGCAUUCGGACCGAGGUGGAAACACCUUUUCUAGCAAUAGCCGUUUGCGAGGUGCUGCAUGGUUGUCGUCAGCUCGUGCCGUGAGGUGUCGGCUUAAGUGCCAUAACGAGCGCAACCCUUGCCACUAGUUACUAACAGGUAAAGCUGAGGACUCUGGUGGGACUGCCAGCGUAAGCUGCGAGGAAGGCGGGGAUGACGUCAAAUCAGCACGGCCCUUACAUCCGGGGCGACACACGUGUUACAAUGGCGUGGACAAAGGGAAGCCACCUGGCGACAGGGAGCGAAUCCCCAAACCACGUCUCAGUUCGGAUCGGAGUCUGCAACCCGACUCCGUGAAGCUGGAUUCGCUAGUAAUCGCGCAUCAGCCAUGGCGCGGUGAAUACGUUCCCGGGCCUUGUACACACCGCCCGUCAAGCCAUGGGAGCCGGGGGUACCUGAAGUCCGUAACCGCGAGGAUCGGCCUAGGGUAAAACUGGUGACUGGGGCUAAGUCGUAACAAGGUAGCCGUACCGGAAGGUGCGGCUGGAACACCUCCUU
This 1521-nucleotide ribosomal RNA is filed under the name Parabacteroides distasonis. RNAcentral's name for it is "Bacterial small subunit ribosomal RNA". It matches the Rfam family "Bacterial small subunit ribosomal RNA". Lineage: Bacteria; Pseudomonadati; Bacteroidota; Bacteroidia; Bacteroidales; Tannerellaceae. The record is from RNAcentral.